AUACGUAUGGGGCGAGCGUUGUCCGGAAUGAUUGGGCGUAAAGGGUACGUAGGCGGUUAAUUAAGUCGAGUGUGAAAGGUCGGGGCUCAACCCCAUAAAGCAUUCGAAACUGGUUAACUUGAGAUGUGGAGAGGAAAGUGGAAUUCCUAGUGUAGCGGUGACAUGCGUAGAUAUUAGGAGGAAUACCAGUAGCGAAGGCGACUUUCUGGACACAUACUGACGCUGAGGUACGAAAGCGUGGGGAGCAAACAGGAUUAGAUCCCCUGGUAGUCCACGCCGUAAACGAUGAAUGCUAGGUGUCGGGGGUCAAACCUCGGUGCCGCCGCUAACGCAUUAAGCAUUCCGCCUGGGGAGUACGCACGCAAGUGUGAAACUCAAAGGAAUUGGCGGGG
RNAcentral lists this ribosomal RNA (392 nucleotides) under uncultured bacterium. RNAcentral describes it as "partial 16S ribosomal RNA". It matches the Rfam family "Bacterial small subunit ribosomal RNA", at positions 523 to 918 of the family's 1533-position model. The record is from RNAcentral.